RNAcentral lists this ribosomal RNA (203 nucleotides) under uncultured Geobacillus sp. RNAcentral's name for it is "partial 16S ribosomal RNA". It matches the Rfam family "Bacterial small subunit ribosomal RNA", at positions 1179 to 1382 of the family's 1533-position model. Lineage: Bacteria; Bacillati; Bacillota; Bacilli; Caryophanales; Anoxybacillaceae. The record is from RNAcentral.
AUGACGUCAAAUCAUCAUGCCCCUUAUGACCUGGGCUACACACGUGCUACAAUGGCGGUACAAAGGGCUGCGAAACCCGCACGGGGAGCGAAUCCCAAAAAGCCGCUCUCAGUUCGGAUUGCAGGCUGCAACUCGCCUGCAUGAAGCCGGAAUCGCUAGUAAUCGCGGAUCAGCAUGCCGCGGUGAAUACGUUCCCGGGCCUU